This 211-nucleotide ribosomal RNA is filed under the name uncultured fungus. RNAcentral's name for it is "partial small subunit ribosomal RNA". The stretch from base 102 to 211 matches the Rfam family "Eukaryotic small subunit ribosomal RNA", at positions 751 to 864 of the family's 1831-position model. Lineage: Eukaryota; Fungi. The record is from RNAcentral.
GGGGCGGGCCGGCGUGUCCACCGUCAGGUGCGACGCGUCGACCGCUCCAUCCUCGCGGCGAAGGCGCGGGCCUUAACUGGUUCGUGUCCGGAGCCGCGUCCUUUACUGUGAAAAAAUUAGAGUGUUUAAAGCAGGCUUUCCGCUUGAAUACAUUAGCAUGGAAUAAUGAGAUAGGACUUCGGUGCUAUUUUGUUGGUUGCGUACCGAGGUA